AUUGAACGCUGGCGGCAUGCCUUACACAUGCAAGUCGAACGGUACCGGUUUAGCUGAAGGGUUGCGAACGGGUGAGUUAUUUUUCCGAAACUGCCCCGUCGUGGGGGGUUAAUUCUCGAAAGAGCAGCUAAUUCCCCCUACCACCUUGGGGUUAAAGCGGGGGGUCGCAAAAACUCGCGCCAUUUGAACCGCCGGAUAUCAGAUUAGGUAGUUGGUGAGGUAAAGGCUCACCAAGCCGACGAUCUGUAGCUGGUCUGAGAGGACGACCAGCCACACUGGGACUGAGACACGGCCCAGACUCCUACGGGAGGCAGCAGUGGGGAAUUUUGGACAAUGGGCGCAAGCCUGAUCCAGCCAUGCCGCGUGCGGGAAGAAGGCCUUCGGGUUGUAAACCGCUUUUGUCAGGGAAGAAAAGGUUCUGGCUAAUACCUGGGACUCAUGACGGUACCUGAAGAAUAAGCACCGGCUAACUACGUG
RNAcentral lists this ribosomal RNA (477 nucleotides) under uncultured bacterium. RNAcentral's name for it is "partial 16S ribosomal RNA". It matches the Rfam family "Bacterial small subunit ribosomal RNA", at positions 30 to 507 of the family's 1533-position model. The record is from RNAcentral.